GCCGCCUUAGCUCAGUUGGUAGAGCAACACUUUUGUAAAGUGAAGGUCCCCGGUUCAAGUCCGGGAGGCGGCU
RNAcentral lists this transfer RNA (73 nucleotides) under Minisyncoccota bacterium. RNAcentral describes it as "tRNA-Thr". It matches the Rfam family "tRNA". From Rfam's summary of the family: Transfer RNA (tRNA) molecules are approximately 80 nucleotides in length. The record is from RNAcentral. Lineage: Bacteria; Bacillati; Minisyncoccota.